Molecule: ribosomal RNA, 740 nt
Filed under: uncultured eukaryote
Lineage: Eukaryota
Description: bacterial SSU rRNA
Rfam family: Eukaryotic small subunit ribosomal RNA
Source: RNAcentral
GACUUGGACUGGCCGCCAGGGUCCGGAAGAGGAGCGAGUUCACUCGAUCAUCUACGUUACGUGGGUGGUGGGGAGCGACGAGCUCUGGGUUACUGUGAAGAAAUUAGAGUGUUUAAAGCAGGCAGGAAAGCUUGAAUAGACGAGCAUGGAAUAACAAGAUAGGACAUUGAGAGCCUCUUGUUGGUGAAGGGGGACGGAUGUAAUGAUUAAUAGGGUCAGUUGGGGGCAUUAGUAUUCAGUAGUCAGAGGUGAAAUUCUUGGAUUUACUGAAGACUAACUAGUGCGAAAGCAUUUGCCAAGGAUGUUUUCAUUAAUCAAGAACGAAAGUUAGGGGAUCGAAGACGAUCAGAUACCGUCGUAGUCUUAACUAUAAACGAUGCCGACUAAGGAUCGGCAGGGGUCGGUUAGCGACACUGUCGGGACUUUGUGAGAAAUCAAAGUUUAUGGGUUCUGGGGGGAGUAUGGUCGCAAGGCUGAAACUUAAAGGAAUUGACGGAAGGGCACCACCAGGAGUGGAGCCUGCGGCUUAAUUUGACUCAACACGAGAAAACUCACCAGGUCCGGACAUGGUAAGGAUUGACAGAUUGAGAGCUCUUUCUUGAUUCUGUGGGUGGUGGUGCAUGGCCGUUCUUAGUUGGUGGAGUGAUUUGUCUGGUUAAUUCCGAUAACGAACGAGACCUUGACCUGCUAACUAGAUGCUAGUACGAGAGUAUUGGUAGACUUCUUAGAGGGACUGACUA